AAAAAAGGUAAGCUACUAAGAGCGAAUGGUGGAUGCCUUGACUGGUAAAGGCGAUGAAGGACGUACUAGACUGCGAUAAGCUACGGGGAGCUGUCAAGAAGCUUUGAUCCGUAGAUUUCCGAAUGGGGCAACCCAAUGUAUAGAGAUAUACAUUACCUAUAUAGGAGCGAACGAGGGGAAUUGAAACAUCUUAGUACCCUCAGGAAAAGAAAUCAAUAGAGAUUGUGUCAGUAGCGGCGAGCGAAAGCGCAAGAGGGCAAACCCAGUGCUUGCACUGGGGGUUGUAGGACUGCAAUGUGCAAGAGCUGAGUUUAGCAGAACAUUCUGGAAAGUAUAGCCAUAGAGGGUGAUAGUCCCGUAUGCGAAAAACAAAGCUUAGCUAGCAGUAUCCUGAGUAGGGCGGGACACGAGGAAUCCUGUCUGAAUCCGGGUCGACCACGAUCCAACCCUAAAUACUAAUACCAGAUCGAUAGUGCACAAGUACCGUGAGGGAAAGGUGAAAAGAACUGAGGUGAUCAGAGUGAAAUAGAACCUGAAACCAUUUGCUUACAAUCAUUCAGAGCACUAUGUAGCAAUACAGUGUGAUGGACUGCCUUUUGCAUAAUGAGCCUGCGAGUUGUGGUGUCUGGCAAGGUUAAGCAAACGCGAAGCCGUAGCGAAAGCGAGUCUGAAUAGGGCGCUUAGUCAGAUGCUGCAGACCCGAAACGAAGUGAUCUAUCCAUGAGCAAGUUGAAGCUAGUGUAAGAACUAGUGGAGGACUGAACCCAUAGGCGUUGAAAAGCCCCGGGAUGACUUGUGGAUAGGGGUGAAAGGCCAAUCAAACUUCGUGAUAGCUGGUUCUCUCCGAAAUAUAUUUAGGUAUAGCGUUGUGUCGUAAUAUAAGGGGGUAGAGCACUGAAUGGGCUAGGGCAUACACCAAUGUACCAAACCCUAUCAAACUCCGAAUACCUUAUAUGUAAUCACAGCAGUCAGGCGGCGAGUGAUAAAAUCCGUCGUCAAGAGGGAAACAACCCAGACUACCAGCUAAGGUCCCUAAAUCUUACUUAAGUGGAAAACGAUGUGAAGUUACUUAAACAACCAGGAGGUUGGCUUAGAAGCAGCCAUCCUUUAAAGAAAGCGUAAUAGCUCACUGGUCUAGUGAUUUUGCGCGGAAAAUAUAACGGGGCUAAAGUAAGUACCGAAGCUGUAGACUUGCGCACAACUUAGAUUAUUUAAGUUUAGAAUAUGAGAAACUAAGUUAUAUUUUUACUGAUUUUUAUAGAGUAAAGAUAGAAAUAAAACUUAGUAAAAUCAGUAAAAAUAUUCUUAGGCUAAAGUUAAGUAGUUUAAGUUGUGUGCAAGUGGUAGGAGAGCGUUCUAUUUGCGUCGAAGGUAUACCGGUAAGGAGUGCUGGAGCGAAUAGAAGUGAGCAUGCAGGCAUGAGUAGCGAUAAUUAAUGUGAGAAUCAUUAACGCCGUAAACCCAAGGUUUCCUACGCGAUGCUCGUCAUCGUAGGGUUAGUCGGGUCCUAAGUCGAGUCCGAAAGGGGUAGACGAUGGCAAAUUGGUUAAUAUUCCAAUACCAACAUUAGUGUGCGAUGGAAGGACGCUUAGGGCUAAGGGGGCUAGCGGAUGGAAGUGCUAGUCUAAGGUCGUAGGAGGUUAUACAGGCAAAUCCGUAUAACAAUACUCCGAGAACUGAAAGGCUUUUUGAAGUCUUCGGAUGGAUAGAAGAACCCCUGAUGCCGUCGAGCCAAGAAAAGUUUCUAAGUUUAGCUAAUGUUGCCCGUACCGUAAACCGACACAGGUGGGUGGGAUGAGUAUUCUAAGGCGCGUGGAAGAACUCUCUUUAAGGAACUCUGCAAAAUAGCACCGUAUCUUCGGUAUAAGGUGUGGUUAGCUUUGU
This 1884-nucleotide ribosomal RNA is filed under the name Campylobacter jejuni. RNAcentral describes it as "partial 23S ribosomal RNA". It matches the Rfam family "Bacterial large subunit ribosomal RNA", at positions 1 to 1761 of the family's 2925-position model. Lineage: Bacteria; Pseudomonadati; Campylobacterota; Epsilonproteobacteria; Campylobacterales; Campylobacteraceae. The record is from RNAcentral.